Molecule: long non-coding RNA, 1598 nt
Organism: Mastomys coucha (southern multimammate mouse)
Lineage: Eukaryota; Metazoa; Chordata; Mammalia; Rodentia; Muridae
Exons: 5
Source: RefSeq, a predicted model, not a curated record
CCAGCCCACACCCUGCUAGGGCACAUGGUCCAGGAACAGUGUGCAGGGGAACUCCCCACCCAACACCCAUCUGCUCAUGCAGACACCACACCACUAUGCCUGACACACAAAACACCAUGCUCUCUGAGACAGGUUCUUCACUAGCCCAGACAGUCUCGAGAGGGAAAGGCCUAAGCCUCUAUCAGGACCUAGACCCAGUGAUAUUUCCUCAGGGAGAGCACCUGGCCGGGAGGCUCCUGUACCCCUGCCGAACUGGCUAAGAGUCGGAGCAGUUCUGUGACCUCCUCUUCUACCUAGGCUCCUUCACUCCUCAUUAAGGUUGAUCAGUGCUUCCAAUGGUCACUGAGCCUUUUUAGAAAGUCAUUUUGGCUGCAGAAGACCACAGGAUUGUAUUGGUUCUGGCAUUCUGCUGCCAACAAGAACACUGCCACAGAUGCACGUGGCCUCAGGCAUGUGUUGCCAAGAAUAUCACCACAGAUGCACGUGGCCCCAGGCAUGUGCAGUCCUGGUUUCUGCAGCGCUCAGCCAGUACUGACACACCCACGGUCACCUCAGACAUGGGGUCUUCAGCUGCCCGCAUCAGCACAAUUUGGAUGACACGGCCUUCAUAGAUGUGGGCAUCGAAUGUUGUCUUCCACUCAGGAUACAUGGUGGGCUUCUUCUGUACCAGUGUCUUCCCUCGAUCUGCGACAGGGCCAGGCAGAGAAGUCAGACUGGGACUAGUCCCUGCUUCCCCGGACCUCCUUAUCCCUCAAUGCCACACAGUCUACUUUCUCUCCCACCCCAAGGAUGUGCUAUGGCUCUCAGGCAUCACACUGAACACCCAGCAGCCUCUAGUGCCUAGAGGGCACUCUGUCAGGUCCCACUAAGUGCUUUGGUCUGCUGUUCCCUUUCCUGUGCUCCAUUUCAACUUCCCUUUCUGUCUGCACUCACCCAGUGAUCACAUAAAAGAGCUGCCACAGGUCAGCCAUGCCUGAUGGCAAGGAACAUGGCCUGGUCCUGUCUCAAGUCCCAGACAGAGACAUGAACCCCUGCACUCCUCAGGUAAGCCACUAAGUCACGGCUGUGAUGGGACUGACAAGGACAGAGACGGUGGUUCUGAACCCUCCGGCAAUCAAGUGGCCUGACCCUAAGAUUCAGAGAAGACUUCCUAGAGGAGGGGCCAUCUCAGUCAGAACCUAACAGGUGCCUAGGCAGAAGCUAUCAGGGAACAGAUGAAAAGAGGAGAGGGCAGAGAUGGAAACAAAUAUGGCAGGAACAGCACAAACACUUAUGAGGACAGAAGAGCAAGACCUGGGAAACUGGUCUGGGUCCCUGUCCUUGCCAGAGACCAGAAGCCUUGAGGUGAGGAAGGCAAUGGCCAAGCCACAGAGACAGGUCACCUUCUCCAGAACAAACAGAAACUUGUUUCCAACCAGCCCAAGGCACGGAGAGAGGCUAGCCUCAAGAUCCCUGGGCACUGACCCUCGAGGAGCCCUGGUCCUUCCUCACACAGCCUUCUACUACCCACACCUGCCUAACCUCAGACUGGCACCCACUGCCUGCCAUGGAAAGUUUCAUCUACUGCCAAGACUAGAUGCAGAUGUUGGCAAAAUGGU